Homo sapiens (human) is the source of this 948-nucleotide long non-coding RNA. RefSeq lists it as uncharacterized. The transcript has 2 exons. The record is from RefSeq and is a predicted model, not a curated record. NCBI's taxonomy places the organism in Eukaryota, Metazoa, Chordata, Mammalia, Primates, Hominidae.
AUAGUGCCACUGCACUCCAGCCUGGGUGACAGAGUGAGACCCUGUCUCCAAUAAAUAAAUAAAUAAAUAAAUAGUGGACAUUUUUAGGAUCUCGGCGGAACACAGUGAAUUGUAUAUUGUAGGGUUUUAUUAUAUAAAUCGGGACUCAAAUUCAAAUGCCUUCAGGGAUCAGGCAGUUUAUAUGAAUCAGAGAUGGCACUAGCAUAGGCAGUAGGAGCGGGGAGGAUUGUGGCAAACUGGAUCAUAGGAUGUCAUACCUAAAUACAUUCAAUUCCAAUGUCUGAAAACACACUGGUAGCCAAACCAAAGAUGCAGCCAGAAGUCACUAAGUUUAUGGUUUACGUUAUAAAUGUAAUUGACUAUGUUAUCUGAAAUCAGAAAAGAGAUAAAGGUAACUCAAUCACAGUACUGUAAAAUGAUUGCUAUCAACUGCUUGACGUAUUUCUUUUGACGGCUCUAGUUUUUUGUUCAUUGGUUUUUUGGUUAGCAUUGUUGUAGCUAUAUUUACUCAUCAGGUGUUUUUCAACAUUACUGUUUCAGGAUCUGCAGUCAAAUUUACCCAGAGGAUCCCAGGCUCUUAGGACUUGACAGGUCACCCACAGUAAAGCUAUCAUGUCAUGAGGACACUCAAGCAGCUCUGGGAGAGACCCCCUGUGGCUAGAAGCUGUGGAUUCUCACCAACAGCCAUGCAAGAUUCCCCAGCCCCAGUCGAGCCUUCAGAUGACCACAGCCCCAGCUGAUAUCUUGACUGCAAUAUCAUGAAAAACCAUGUGUCAGAACUGCUCAGACAUGUUGCUCCCAAAUUCUGGACCUGCAGAAACCAUGAAAGACAAUAAAUGAUUAUUGCUGUUUUAGGUCACUAUGUUUUGAGCUAACUUCUUACACAGCAAUAGAUACUAAUGCAUAUUUUAACCAGUUUCCUACAUUAAAACCUUUCUGUUGGAAAGA